RNAcentral lists this ribosomal RNA (506 nucleotides) under uncultured bacterium. RNAcentral describes it as "partial 16S ribosomal RNA". It matches the Rfam family "Bacterial small subunit ribosomal RNA", at positions 30 to 523 of the family's 1533-position model. The record is from RNAcentral.
AUUGAACGCUGGCGGCAGGCCUAACACAUGCAAGUCGAGCGGCAGCGGAAAGUAGCUUGCUACUUUGCCGGCGAGCGGCGGACGGGUGAGUAAUGUCUGGGAAACUGCCUGAUGGAGGGGGAUAACUACUGGAAACGGUAGCUAAUACCGCAUAACGUCGCAAGACCAAAGAGGGGGACCUUCGGGCCUCUUGCCAUCAGAUGUGCCCAGAUGGGAUUAGCUAGUAGGUGGGGUAACGGCUCACCUAGGCGACGAUCCCUAGCUGGUCUGAGAGGAUGAACAGCGACACUGGAAAUGAGACACGGUCCAGACUCCUACGGGAGGCAGCAGUGGGGAAUAUUGCACAAUGGGCGCAAGCCUGAUGCAGUCAUGCCGCGUGUAUGAAGAAGGCCUUCGGGUUGUAAAGUACUUUCAGCGGGGAGGAAGGCGAUAAGGUUAAUAACCUUGUCGAUUGACGUUACCCGCAGAAGAAGCACCGGCUAACUCCGUGCCAGCCGCCGCAGUAA